Molecule: ribosomal RNA, 282 nt
Filed under: uncultured bacterium
Lineage: Bacteria
Description: partial 16S ribosomal RNA
Rfam family: Bacterial small subunit ribosomal RNA
Source: RNAcentral
GAGUAUGCGUCUGAUUAGCUAGUUGGUGAGGUACGGCUCACCAAGGCGACGAUCAGUAGGGGACCUGAGAGGACUAACCCCCACACUGGUACUGAGACACGGACCAGACUCCUACGGGAGGCAGCAGUAAGGAAUAUUGGUCAAUGGAGGCAACUCUGAACCAGCCAUGCCGCGUGCAGGAUGACGGCCCUAUGGGUUGUAAACUGCUUUUAUACAAGAGAAAACCCUGGUACGUGUACCAAGUUGAUAGUAUUGUAAGAAUAAGCAUCGGCUAACUUCGUG